RNAcentral lists this ribosomal RNA (455 nucleotides) under uncultured bacterium. RNAcentral's name for it is "bacterial SSU rRNA". It matches the Rfam family "Bacterial small subunit ribosomal RNA", at positions 29 to 521 of the family's 1533-position model. The record is from RNAcentral.
AGCGAACGCUGGCGGCAGGCCUAACACAUGCAAGUCGAACGGGAUCCUAGCUUGCUAGGUGAGAGUGGCGGACGGGUGAGUAACACGUGGGAAUCUGCCUUUUGGUUCGGGAUAACCGCGGGAAACUGCGGCUAAUACCGAAUGCCCUCGAGAGAGGAAAGAUUUAUCGCCAGAAGAGGAGCCCGCGUCCGAUUAGGUAGUUGGUGGGGUAAAGGCCUACCAAGCCGACGAUCGGUAGCUGGUCUGAGAGGAUGAUCAGCCACACUGGGACUGAGAUACGGCCCAGACUCCUACGGGAGGCAGCAGUGGGGAAUAUUGGACAAUGGGCGAAAGCCUGAUCCAGCAAUGCCGCGUGAGUGAUGAAGGCCUUAGGGUUGUAAAGCUCUUUUACCCGGGAUGAUAAUGACAGUACCGGGAGAAUAAGCUCCGGCUAACUCCGUGCCAGCAGCCGCGGU